Molecule: ribosomal RNA, 498 nt
Filed under: Lactiplantibacillus plantarum
Lineage: Bacteria; Bacillati; Bacillota; Bacilli; Lactobacillales; Lactobacillaceae
Description: bacterial SSU rRNA
Rfam family: Bacterial small subunit ribosomal RNA
Source: RNAcentral
GGGUUUCGGCUCGUAAAACUCUGUUGUUAAAGAAGAACAUAUCUGAGAGUAACUGUUCAGGUAUUGACGGUAUUUAACCAGAAAGCCACGGCUAACUACGUGCCAGCAGCCGCGGUAAUACGUAGGUGGCAAGCGUUGUCCGGAUUUAUUGGGCGUAAAGCGAGCGCAGGCGGUUUUUUAAGUCUGAUGUGAAAGCCUUCGGCUCAACCGAAGAAGUGCAUCGGAAACUGGGAAACUUGAGUGCAGAAGAGGACAGUGGAACUCCAUGUGUAGCGGUGAAAUGCGUAGAUAUAUGGAAGAACACCAGUGGCGAAGGCGGCUGUCUGGUCUGUAACUGACGCUGAGGCUCGAAAGUAUGGGUAGCAAACAGGAUUAGAUACCCUGGUAGUCCAUACCGUAAACGAUGAAUGCUAAGUGUUGGAGGGUUUCCGCCCUUCAGUGCUGCAGCUAACGCAUUAAGCAUUCCGCCUGGGGAGUACGGCCGCAAGGCUGAAACUC